UGCCAGCCGCCGCGGUAAUACGAAGGGGGCUAGCGUUGUUCGGAAUUACUGGGCGUAAAGGGCGCGUAGGCGGUUAAGUAAGUUAGGUGUGAAAUCCCAGGGCUCAACUCUGGAACUGCACUUAAAACUGUUUAACUAGAAUACAAGAGAGGACAGUGGAAUUCCUAGUGUAGAGGUGAAAUUCGUAGAUAUUAGGAAGGACAUCGGAGGCGAAGGCGGCUGUCUGGCUUGAUAUUGACGCUGAUGCGCGAAAGCGUGGGUAGCAAACAGGAUUAGAUA
RNAcentral lists this ribosomal RNA (279 nucleotides) under uncultured bacterium. RNAcentral's name for it is "partial 16S ribosomal RNA". It matches the Rfam family "Bacterial small subunit ribosomal RNA", at positions 506 to 784 of the family's 1533-position model. The record is from RNAcentral.